GCAAUGUGUCAAGGUGGUCUUGCUGUACGCUGCCUCACCCAAAGCAAAAAGAUGGCACAUCAUGUGGUGUCUUUGCUUUGAAACUUGAUUGCUUCUUUUAUUACUUUGUUCAUUUUCGGUUCUUUCAAGAAUUGAGGAAAGAAAUAGCUGUCACUCUUCUACAAAAGGGCUCAAUUACUGAAGGUGUGGAGGGCUCUUAUUUUUUUUAUUAUAAAUUAUUAUUAUCAGUAUUAUUAUUACGGUUUAUUAUUAUUAUUUAUCACAAUUUUGGGUGCUCAUCAAGCUGGACAACUUUCAACAGGAUUCAUGUGGCUG
Xyrauchen texanus (razorback sucker) is the source of this 315-nucleotide long non-coding RNA. RefSeq lists it as uncharacterized. The transcript has 3 exons. NCBI's taxonomy places the organism in Eukaryota, Metazoa, Chordata, Actinopteri, Cypriniformes, Catostomidae. The record is from RefSeq and is a predicted model, not a curated record.